This 853-nucleotide ribosomal RNA is filed under the name Hymenoscyphus lasiopodius. Its description in RNAcentral is "eukaryotic LSU rRNA". It matches the Rfam family "Eukaryotic large subunit ribosomal RNA", at positions 86 to 956 of the family's 3401-position model. Lineage: Eukaryota; Fungi; Ascomycota; Leotiomycetes; Helotiales; Helotiaceae. The record is from RNAcentral.
ACGGCGAGUGAAGCGGUACAGCUCAAAUUUGAAAUCUGGCUCUUUUAGGGUCCGAGUUGUAAUUUGUAGAAGAUGCUUCGGGUGUGGCUCCGGUCUAAGUUCCUUGGAACAGGACGUCAUAGAGGGUGAGAAUCCCGUAUGUGACUGGUUGCCUUCGCCCAUGUGAAGCUCUUUCGACGAGUCGAGUUGUUUGGGAAUGCAGCUCUAAAUGGGUGGUAAAUUUCAUCUAAAGCUAAAUAUUGGCCAGAGACCGAUAGCGCACAAGUAGAGUGAUCGAAAGAUGAAAAGCACUUUGGAAAGAGAGUUAAACAGUACGUGAAAUUGUUGAAAGGGAAGCGCUUGCAACUAGACUUGCACGCCGUCGAUCAUCUCAGGUUCUCCUGGGUGCACUCGGCGGGGUUCAGGCCAGCAUCGGUUUUGGUGGUUGGAUAAAGGCCUUGGGAAUGUGGCUCCUCUCGGGGAGUGUUAUAGCCCUCGGUGCAAUGCAGCCUACCGGGACCGAGGACCGCGCUUCGGCUAGGAUGCUGGCGUAAUAGUUGUAAGCGACCCGUCUUGAAACACGGACCAAGGAGUCUAACAUCUAUGCGAGUGUUUGGGUGUUAAACCCAUACGCGUAAUGAAAGUGAACGGAGGUGAGAACCCUUUAGGGUGCAUCAUCGACCGAUCCUGAUGUCUUCGGAUGGAUUUGAGUAAGAGCAUAGCUGUUGGGACCCGAAAGAUGGUGAACUAUGCCUAAAUAGGGUGAAGCCAGAGGAAACUCUGGUGGAGGCUCGCAGCGGUUCUGACGUGCAAAUCGAUCGUCAAAUUUGGGUAUAGGGGCGAAAGACUAAUCGAACCAUUCUACUAGGUGGUU